Molecule: non-coding RNA, 48 nt
Organism: Schistosoma haematobium
Lineage: Eukaryota; Metazoa; Platyhelminthes; Trematoda; Strigeidida; Schistosomatidae
Source: Rfam
AUCCAGCUGACAAGUCCCGAAUAAGACGGAACGCGUGUCAAACUGGAU